RNAcentral lists this ribosomal RNA (510 nucleotides) under Triticum aestivum (bread wheat). RNAcentral describes it as "partial small subunit ribosomal RNA". The record is from RNAcentral. Lineage: Eukaryota; Viridiplantae; Streptophyta; Magnoliopsida; Poales; Poaceae.
AAGGGGGAUGUUCAGAGUUGUACUAAUUACCGUGGAAUUAAGCUGAUGAGCCAUACAAUGAAGCUAUGGGAGAGGGUCAUUGAGCACCGCUUAAGAAGAAUGACAAGCGUGACCAAAAAUCAGUUUGGUUUCAUGCCUGGGAGGUCGACCAUGGAAGCCAUUUUCUUGGUACGACAACUUAUGGAGAGAUAUAGGGAGCAUAAGAAGGACUUGCAUAUGGUGUUCAUUGACUUGGAGAAGGCCUAUGAUAAGAUACCGCGUAAUUUCAUGUGGUGGGCCUUGGAGAAACACAAAGUCCCAGCAAAGUACAUUACCCUCAUCAAGGACAUGUACAAUAAUGUUGUGACAAGUGUUCGAACAAGUGAUGUCGACACCGAUGACUUCCCGAUUAAGAUAGGACUGCAUCAGGGGUCAGCUUUAAGCCCUUAUCUUUUUGCAUUGGUGAUGGAUGAGGUCACAAGGGGUAUACAAGGAGAUAUCCCAUGGUGUAUGCUCUUUGCGGAUGGUGUG